CUACAGGGAAUAGUAGUAGAAAAUUUCUGGUUAAUAGACUGUCAUAAAUUUGGAGUAAUCAAAUUAUCUAAACCAGUAAAAAAAAAAAAAAGUGUCACCUCACAUUGGAGAGGUUUGCUUUAUUCAUGGCUACUCAUAGAGUGCUGAUAAGCCAACAUACAGCUCACAUAAUUUUUUAAAAGAAAUUUAAUACUCAAAAUUCACAACACUCAGUGUCAAAGAUAUUUAGGUGAUUAAACUUUUCAAAUGGUGUUUUUAGUAAGUUUGUAGCAUCUGGACUUCUGAGGAUAUUAAAGCUGACAAUUGCACUAAGACUUCUGUAACACCUUGUAUACUGAGAUUGCUGACAUUUAUGUCUAUAGUUAAGACAAUUUAAAAAUGAGUUAUUCAUGAAUGUAAAAAUCAGAUUCUGCUUUUGCAGAAAAUUUUUUAUUCCUGUCUCUUAAAAGCAGUUUCAUUGAUCAGACAUAUUCUUAGAAAUGAGGACAGAGACAGGAACUAACUGUAUUCUUGUUUCUGCUGCCAAGGAUAACAAUCUACU
Molecule: long non-coding RNA, 541 nt
Filed under: Bos taurus (domestic cattle)
Lineage: Eukaryota; Metazoa; Chordata; Mammalia; Artiodactyla; Bovidae
Description: long non-coding RNA NONBTAT026282
Source: RNAcentral